AUGAGCAUGGGGCGCUACGCGGCCUCAACGGAUCCGGAGGCGGGCAGGGACGGGGACGGGGCCGUCCUGCUCCGCUCGCCCAGCGGGGCCACCGCGCGGGUGAGCCUGCACGGCGGGCAGGUCGUCUCCUGGAAGAACGACCGGGGAGAUGAGCUCCUCUUCACCAGCAGCAAGGUCAGCCUGCCCCUCCUCCUGCUCCCCACUCUUCAGUUCAGCUCUGUUCUACUCUGCUCUGCUGGGUUCUGUGCUGUGCUGGUUAUAAGUUUGAUGCAGUGCGAGAGAUUCAUUUCGGCAAUCAUGAAGCCACCAAAGGCGAUGCGUGGCGGCAUUCCGAUAUGCUUUCCACAGUUUGGAAACUGCGGGACCUUGGAGCGACAUGGAUUUGCGAGGAACAGGAUGUGGGCCCUCGACGAGGAGCAUCCAGGAUUAAGUCGUAGUGACAGUGGCAGCACAUCUUUUGUUGACCUUAUCCUAAAGCCAUCUGAAGAGGACCAGAAGAGCUGGCCACAUAGUUUCGAGUUCCGGCUGAGAAUCUCUCUCACAAAGGACGGUGACCUCUCACUGGUAUCGCGCAUCAGAAACGUCAAUGGCAAGCCAUUCAGUUUCUCAUUUGCCUACCACACAUACCUCUCAGUCUCAGACAUCAGCGAGGUGAGGAUAGAAGGCUUGGAGACACUCGAUUACCUGGACAAUCUCAGCCAGCGGGAACGCCAUACCGAACAAGGAGACGCCAUAACAUUCGAAUCAGAGGUGGACCGAGUGUAUGUCAGCUCGCCGAACGUGAUAGCGGUGCUCGACCAUGAGAAGAAGCGCACAUUCGUCAUAAGAAAGGACGGCCUCCCCGACACCGUGGUGUGGAACCCGUGGGAGAAGAAGGCCAAGACGAUGGCGGACUUCGGGGACGAGGAGUACAAGCAGACGCUGUGCGUGGACGCGGCGGCGGCGGAGCGGCCCAUCACGCUGAGGCCCGGGGAGGAGUGGACGGGGAGGCUGGAGCUCUCCGCCGUGCCGUCCACCAACUGCAGCGACCACCUCGAUCAGCCCGGCAUCAUGUGA
Molecule: ribosomal RNA, 1056 nt
Filed under: Triticum aestivum (bread wheat)
Lineage: Eukaryota; Viridiplantae; Streptophyta; Magnoliopsida; Poales; Poaceae
Description: partial small subunit ribosomal RNA
Source: RNAcentral